AAGUCGUAACAAGGUCUCCGUAGGUGAACCUGCGGAGGGAUCAUUACGAAGCGUGGGCUACGGCCCGACGUCCUACCCUUUGCGUACUAAACCUCGUUGCCUCGGGGGGCAGCGCCCCGUGCCUCCCGGUGGGAAAUGUGAACACCGCGUCAACCGUCGUCGGAUCAAGCAAGUAAAUGUAAUCAAAACUUUCAACAACGGAUCUCUUGGUUCUGGCAUCGAUGAAGAACGCAGCGAAAUGCGAUAAGUAAUGUGAAUUGCAGAAUUCAGUGAAUCAUCGAAUCUUUGAACGCACAUUGCGCCCCUUGGCAUUCCGAGGGGCAUGCCCGUUCGAGCGUCAUUUCAACAGUCAAGCCUCGCUUGGUAUUGGACACCGGGGCCGGCUUCUCGGCCCCGCGUCCUAAAUCCACCGGCGGGACCGACCAUCUCCUAGCGUUGCGGAAAUCAAAUCGCUCCGGGGCGGGACGCCUUCGCCGUUAAAGACCCAUCAAAGGUUGACCUCGGAUCGGGUAGGGAUACCCGCUGAACUUAAGCAUAUCAAUAAGCGGAGGAAAAGAAACCAACAGGGAUUGCCCUAGUAACGGCGAGUGAAGCGGCAACAGCUCAAAUUUGAAAUCCGGCGUCAGCCCGAGUUGUAAUUUGCAGAGGAUGCUUCUAGGCAGCGGCCGGUCUAAGUUCCUUGGAACAGGACGUCACAGAGGGUGAGAAUCCCGUACGUGACUGGCUUGCACCUUCCACGUAGCUCCUUCGACGAGUCGAGUUGUUUGGGAAUGCAGCUCUAAACGGGAGGUAAAUUUCUUCUAAAGCUAAAUACCGGCCAGAGACCGAUAGCGCACAAGUAGAGUGAUCGAAAGAUGAAAAGCACUUUGGAAAGAGAGUUAAAAAGCACGUGAAAUUGUUGAAAGGGAAGCGCUUGCAACCAGACUUGCGGGUGGCGUUCCACCGGUCUUCUGACCGGUCCACUCGCCGCCCGCAGGCCAGCAUCGUCCGGGGCCGUCGGAUAAAGGCGUCGGGAAUGUGGCUCCCCUCGGGGAGCGUUAUAGCCCGUCGCGCAAUACGGCGAGCCCCGGGCGAGGUCCGCGCUCCGGCAAGGAUGCUGGCGUAAUGGUCGUAAGCGGC
RNAcentral lists this ribosomal RNA (1119 nucleotides) under uncultured fungus. RNAcentral's name for it is "eukaryotic LSU rRNA". The stretch from base 496 to 1119 matches the Rfam family "Eukaryotic large subunit ribosomal RNA", at positions 1 to 648 of the family's 3401-position model. The record is from RNAcentral. Lineage: Eukaryota; Fungi.